This 324-nucleotide ribosomal RNA is filed under the name uncultured bacterium. Its description in RNAcentral is "bacterial SSU rRNA". It matches the Rfam family "Bacterial small subunit ribosomal RNA", at positions 28 to 334 of the family's 1533-position model. The record is from RNAcentral.
GACGAACGCUGGCGGCGUGCUUAACACAUGCAAGUCGAACGGAGCACCCCUGAAGGAGUUUUCGGACAACGGAUGGGAAUGCUUAGUGGCGGACUGGUGAGUAACGCGUGAGGAACCUGCCUUCCAGAGGGGGACAACAGUUGGAAACGACUGCUAAUACCGCAUGACACAUUUGAAUCGCAUGGUUUGAAUGUCAAAGAUUUAUCGCUGGAAGAUGGCCUCGCGUCUGAUUAGCUAGUUGGUGAGGUAACGGCCCACCAAGGCGACGAUCAGUAGCCGGACUGAGAGGUUGGCCGGCCACAUUGGGACUGAGAUACGGCCCAG